UAUCCAGACUCCUACGGGAGGCAGCAGUGGGGGAUAUUGCACAAUGGGGGGAACCCUGAUGCAGCGACGCCGCGUGGGUGAAGGAGCGUUUCGGCGCGUAAAGCCCUAUCGGCAGGGAAGAAGGAGGACGGUACCUGACUAAGAAGCCCCGGCUAACUACGUGCCAGCAGCCGCGGUAAUACGUAGAGGGCAAGCGUUAUCCGGAUUCACUGGGUGUAAAGGGAGCGUAGACGGCCAGGCAAGCCUGGAGUGAAAGCCCGGGGCCCAACCCCGGGACUGCUCUGGGAACUGUCCGGCUGGAGUGCGGGAGGGGCAGGCGGAAUUCCUGGUGUAGCGGUGAAAUGCGUAGAUAUUAGGAGGAACACCAGUGGCGAAGGCGGCCUACUGGACGGUGACUGACGCUGAGGCUCGAAAGCGUGGGGAGCAAACAGGAUUAGAUACCCUGGUAC
This 449-nucleotide ribosomal RNA is filed under the name uncultured bacterium. RNAcentral's name for it is "partial 16S ribosomal RNA". It matches the Rfam family "Bacterial small subunit ribosomal RNA", at positions 328 to 793 of the family's 1533-position model. The record is from RNAcentral.